Vicia villosa (hairy vetch) is the source of this 1368-nucleotide long non-coding RNA. RefSeq lists it as uncharacterized. The record is from RefSeq and is a predicted model, not a curated record. The transcript is spliced from 4 exons. NCBI's taxonomy places the organism in Eukaryota, Viridiplantae, Streptophyta, Magnoliopsida, Fabales, Fabaceae.
CAGCAUCUGUUCCAUGGUUAAUCCACAUCAGCUUUGGCGGUUACACUUCUCAAAAUUCUCACGCUCUCCUCUUUCUCUUCCAAAACGGUUUCUCCUCUUUUUUCAGAACCGGCACAUUCUCUUCACUCACCAUUCUCUUCAAUGCACGGUUACAUUACAUUGACUGUUUGUCUUCCCAUUUUCAAAACGAUUCAAUCUAUCUUCAAUUACCAUUCUCUUCAUCUCCAUUCAACUUUCGCAACCGCCCACAUCCACCUCUGCCUACUCCGCUCUAGAUCAAAACCUGCGUCGCCUGCAACUGCUGAUUUUGCCGUCGUAUCCCCAACACCGACGACUACACCACCGCCACGCAUCAACGAUUGAAACAUGGGCUUAAUUAGAGGCUAAAAUCAGAAACAAAUGGAGGAUAGCAAUAGACCGAAUUCCCAUCACAAGGGUCUCCGACCAAAAUCACCUAAGGGUCUUCGAACCGGUUAAAUCGGCACUGCUGAUAAAAAGAUAAGUGUAUUUACUUACAACUGGUACCAUUACAUCAAUUCUAUUAUGUAAUUGUUAAAACUGUUCUUUCAUAAACUUAAUGAAUCUCUGUCUUGAUGUAAAUUCAGUGGUAAAUCAAAGAAAGUUAAUCUGAUUGCCCCACUCCGAAGCCAACGUUCAAUUCAUCCAAUAGAAGAAUCAACAUAAUUCAGCAGUGAAGUCACAAUUGAUGUUGCAAUUGAAUACAAAUUUUGAUUUGGCAAUGUUUAAUGGAGAAAUCCUAUGUCAGGAAUGUAGUUGGCUAUGUUAGUCCAACCUAUGGCGCUUCCACACCCAUCCGAGGAUCCCAUUCAAAUACCAAUGAUCAUUCCUUUGAAGUUUCUGCAUCUGUCUUUUUCCUUUUAAAAACUUAAUAAAAGUGUUAGUUGUAGAAGUUGCUAUAGCUGUGCGUAGUAUUUUUUGAAGUUCUAUAUAACCAGUAUCAUUAUGAGCAUGAUGCUGAUUUUGUUCAUAUAAAGAUGUUGCGCAACAAUACUUUCGUUACAGUGAAUGAUGCUUUCUCUCAGACUGGAAUCAUUGAUCCUUUUGCUAAGCGUCAUAUAACAUCUUCCCACGCUGUUCCUUUAGGCGGUGUUGGUGUAGGAAGUAUUGGAAGAAGUUUUAAAGGUGAGUUUCAGCGUUGGCAGCUAUUCCCUCUCGCAAGUGAAGACAAACCAGUAAAAUAAAAUGACAGUAAUGUUGCAUUCAGAUGUAGAGGCUCGCAUUGGAGCACACCUUAAAUUUUCUGUACUUCUAUUACCAAAUUCCUUCCAUACACAUGAAGUUUCUUCGCCGCGGUCCAGAUAUCUAGAUCAACGCAGCAAAAAGAAUUCCCAUACUGCAGCUGCAUCC